This 1358-nucleotide long non-coding RNA is filed under the name Mastacembelus armatus (zig-zag eel). RNAcentral describes it as "lncRNA (ENSMAMG00000025916.1)". The record is from RNAcentral. Lineage: Eukaryota; Metazoa; Chordata; Actinopteri; Synbranchiformes; Mastacembelidae.
CUCAGUAAUGUCACUGUGUAAGGUUUGUAUAUAUAAAUUUGAGGUCUGGACCCAGGUUUGCAGACAAUAACUUUAUUUUUAUAUUAUAUUAUAUAUUAUAUUAUUUUUAUAAAAAUUCUAGAAUGGCGCCUGUUAGGUGGCAGCCUGUUACAGCAGCUCCUCUGUUUGUUUUUUGUUUUUUGCAAGUUUUUUUUACUGAAUUAUCAUCUGUUAAUCCAAGUCAAAUCAAGAUCUACGCUUUCUCUCUGAUAACGGAUGAAAGUGGAUGAGUUGGGUUUUUCGAAUUCCUGUGGAAAGACAUAUGGAGAUUAUGGAAACUGCAUCAGAAAAUAUACGUUUCUGUGGCAACGGCAUCUAUACAAGGGAGCAACUGUUAGCUCUCAAGGGAACAAAACUGCUUCUUGGUAUAAAACCUGAAAUCCCCAAAGACCUGAGGAGGCGCAGUAGGGGCUGCAGAGCAGGAGUGAAGCAUCGAGAAAAACGUAGGAGAUUUAAACCAUUUCUCCCAAAAAUUAUUAUGGGGAAUGUGAGGUCACUCUGCAACAAAGUGGAUGAAUUUACAGCUUUAGCUAGCAGCCAGCGAGAUUACAGAGAAUGUAGCUUGCUUUGCUUCACCGAGACCUGGCUGCAUGAAAAUAUAUCGGACAGCUCGCUUGAACUGCCUGGGUUCUUGCUAGUGCGAGCAGACAGAGGGAAACAGAGCGGCAAGAAAAGAGGAGGUGGUCUCUCUGUUUUUGUUAACUCCAAAUGGUGCAACCCUGGACAUGUAACAGUGAAAGACUGUAUCUGUACUCCAGACAUUGAGCUGUUGGUGGUUGGACUGAGGCCAUACUACCUGCCCCGUGAGUUUUCACACGCCAUUGUUGUGACUGUUUACAUUCCUCCAUCAGCUGCAGCACAGAGUGCAUGUGACAUCAUCCACACAGUUGUAGGUGGUCUCCAAACAAAACACCCCAGUGCCCUUAUAGUAAUUAAUGGGGAUUUUAACCAUGUCAGUAUUUCGGGAGCUCUGACCAACUUCAAACAGUAUGUGGACUGUGCAACACAAGAAAAUAAGAUUCUUGAUCUCCUUUAUGCCAAUGUGAAGGAGGCAUACAGCUCUUCAGCCCUCCCCCCACUUGGUGGAUCAGACCACAACUUAAUAUAUCUAGUACCAACAUACAAGCCCGUGGUAAGACAACAGUCUGCCACCAAGAGGUAUGUGAAGGUUUGGUCAAAGGAUGCUGAGGAGGCCCUGCAGGAGUGCUUCAGGGUUACAAACUGGGACCUUUUCAUGGACACUCAUGGUGAGGACAUCGAAGGCAUCUCUCACUGCAUCACAGAUUACAUCCACUCCUGUGAGGACAAUCCAAAAACAU